Miniopterus natalensis is the source of this 588-nucleotide non-coding RNA. Lineage: Eukaryota; Metazoa; Chordata; Mammalia; Chiroptera; Miniopteridae. The record is from RefSeq and is a predicted model, not a curated record.
AGAAAGUGAGGCCAACCUUCAUGAUUGGCCUGUGGCUUAGUGAAGGCUUCCCCUGGGCAAAAGAUUCUUGAGUAGUAGAGACAUGGAGCAACGCUUGGCAGCACCUGGAUACUGACUGAAUCCUCUACAGCAACAGAGAACUUUGGAAAGGAGGCUAGAUUCUCUUUUGCGAGUCCCCAUAGUGAAAGCAGUGCUUAAUAAAUGCUAUUGCGUGACUGCCGCUUUGGACUGGGGAAGGAGGGAGGGUAGGGCUGAAGCGGAAGGAGAGGGAUGAUUCAGAGAGAAUUUACAGAUGUUUCAACUCUCCUACAAAAAGCAAAUAGGCCAAAUAAAUCUAUGUGGCAUAAAAUGAAAUAAAAAUAAAAUUGUUCCUUCUAAAAGCCACUAUAUUCUGUUCCCAGCGGUAAAAGUUACAACUAGAACUACAAGCAAAAUGGGCUCAUAUUAAUGAAAAUAUGUAACUGUAUCACCACAACCAAAGCUCUGAACACUCAAAGAUAUUUAGUGGAAAGAAAUCCUCAAGAGACAUUUACUAGUGUUUGAAGUAAAAGCAAAGCCUUAAAGCAAUAAAAACACUUUCCAAAUGAA